This is a non-coding RNA of Rana temporaria (common frog), 722 nucleotides long. Lineage: Eukaryota; Metazoa; Chordata; Amphibia; Anura; Ranidae. The record is from the annotation of a RefSeq genome assembly.
GUGAAGUGUAUAGAUACAAAUUAAACAGAGGAAUAAUGAAGACCCAAAUAGGCCUUUUUAUAUCAUUAUCAUGGCUGUCAGGUGUCCUGUCUUCUAACCAACUUGUCCAGUCUGAUCCAGCCGUGAUAAAGCCGGGGAACUCCCAUACACUCACCUGUCAGGGUUCAGGAGGAUUCACCAUUGCUGGCAAUACUAUGGCAUGGUUCAGACAGUUCUCUGAUGGAAAGUUACAAUGGUUGUGUUUUAUUGGUAGCGGUGGGGACAAACACUAUCAUAAUGAUGUUAAAGGGAGAUUCACAGUCACUAGAGAUGACACCAAUAACAAGAUGACUCUGAAAAUGGACAACAUGAAAACAGAAGACACUUCCGUGUAUUACUGUGCAAGAGACACACUGAUGGAAAAUCUAUCUUUACUAUAACAAUAAGUAGAAUAUCACUUCUUCACGUUAUCAGUAGGUGGCAGCACAUACAUUUACAAUUUGGACAUAUUAGCUACAAGUAUAAAUCAAAUUUGAAUUUCUUUGGGCUCUUUUACAUGUACAGUGCACUCUGAAGAGCAAUCUGCAUUGAUUAAUUUUGCAUAGGGCAUUUGACAGGUGGUGGAGGCAAUAUGUUGCCUUCUCACCACCUGUUUUAAGCCCUAAAAGCCCACACAACCGCAACACAACCAUGGAAGUGUGAAUGAGGCGUUUCUUUGUUGGGGUUCAUUCACACGGGUUUUU